CGUCUAAUGGUUAGGGCCCUCGGUUGUAGCCCGAGAGAUGUUGGUUCGAUUCCAACC
This 57-nucleotide transfer RNA is filed under the name Bigelowiella longifila. It matches the Rfam family "tRNA", at positions 10 to 63 of the family's 71-position model. Rfam says of the family: Transfer RNA (tRNA) molecules are approximately 80 nucleotides in length. Their secondary structure includes four short double-helical elements and three loops (D, anti-codon, and T loops). The record is from RNAcentral. Lineage: Eukaryota; Cercozoa; Chlorarachniophyceae.